RNAcentral lists this ribosomal RNA (473 nucleotides) under Pseudomonas sp. MB-K. RNAcentral describes it as "bacterial SSU rRNA". It matches the Rfam family "Bacterial small subunit ribosomal RNA", at positions 983 to 1455 of the family's 1533-position model. The record is from RNAcentral. Lineage: Bacteria; Pseudomonadati; Pseudomonadota; Gammaproteobacteria; Pseudomonadales; Pseudomonadaceae.
GACAUCCAAUGAACUUUCCAGAGAUGGAUUGGUGCCUUCGGGAACAUUGAGACAGGUGCUGCAUGGCUGUCGUCAGCUUGUGUCGUGAGAUGUUGGGUUAAGUCCCGUAACGAGCGCAACCCUUGUCCUUAGUUACCAGCACGUAAUGGUGGGCACUCUAAGGAGACUGCCGGUGACAAACCGGAGGAAGGUGGGGAUGACGUCAAGUCAUCAUGGCCCUUACGGCCUGGGCUACACACGUGCUACAAUGGUCGGUACAAAGGGUUGCCAAGCCGCGAGGUGGAGCUAAUCCCAUAAAACCGAUUGUAGUCCGGAUCGCAGUCUGCAACUUGACUGCGUGAAGUCGGAAUCGCUAGUAAUCGCGAAUCAGAAUGUCGCGGUGAAUACGUUCCCGGGCCUUGUACACACCGCCCGUCACACCAUGGGAGUGGGUUGCACCAGAAGUAGCUAGUCUAACCUUCGGGAGGACGGUA